GGGCGGGGCUUAGCGGGCUGGUAUCCCUGGAUGACCUCCAGGGGCCGAGGUUGGUGGCGCUCCGCGGGACUCUCAGAUGGACUAACAAGCUGAUCCGCCGAUCAGUUAGCCUUCCGCGACCUUGGUCCCUUGCCCUGUGUGACAAGGACAUUGACACCGUUACUCCGCAUGCCAGUUCAUUGGGCUGAGUCCUUAAAUCCUGGACCAGUCUGUCCCUCUUGAAAGUAGUGUCUCCAGGCAGGGUCGCUGUAACUGUCACCUGUGCUUUCAGCCCAGCUGCGGAACGCAGGAAAUAGCCAGGGGGAGACCCCGAGGAAGGGCCAGGCUGGAGCGCUCGUACGCGGCCAGGAGGUGAAGUUGGUAAAGGAAACGACUGUGAAGGGGAGGGGAAAGAGGCUGCUGUGAAGCCGGCCCGGGAGCCUCAGCCCUGGGGAAGGAAGAGAUAGAAGAGAUCAGACUGUUGGGUCUGCAGRACGGUCGCAGGCUCCAGUUUACAGAUGAGGAACCCGAGAAGGGAAGGACUUGCCSGAGCUAUCCUCCGAGUCACUGGCAGAGCCCCAGCUGGAACCAGCCCAGCCUCUUCCCAGCCUUCAAUCUGAGGUUUUAAAUUAGAGGAAAAGGAAAGAAUUGGACAGUGAAAAAAACUUGAAAAGCGGAAGUUGGGUUUGAAGGAGAGAAACRGUUGAUCCUCUGGAAGCCUGGGGCACGCGCUUGCUGAGAGAAGGAGGAAGUUGGUUCACUGACCAAAGCAUCACUGGAAAGAGUCAAAUGCCUGCAGUGACCAGACAGGACCCSACCCAGAACCAGACCUCUACAUCCCAGGAUUCCUGCGGCGAGGGAGGUGACCUUGACCUGCACCAUCUAGACACCCACAAAGAGACCAGUUCCUGGAAGGAGCCACCAUGUCCUCCAAUACUGCUGUCUCCAGCAAUGACUCCUCCUCCUCCUCCUCUUCCUCCUUCUCCUCUUCCUCCGGGCUGCACCUCACCCUGAAGCCCGAGGACCAUGGCACCAUUGUUGGACGUCACUUGAACUUCUCCCUAGAGAACUGGACCAGAAGUAGCCUGG
RNAcentral lists this long non-coding RNA (1068 nucleotides) under Urocitellus parryii (Arctic ground squirrel). RNAcentral describes it as "lncRNA (ENSUPAG00010017811.1)". The record is from RNAcentral. Lineage: Eukaryota; Metazoa; Chordata; Mammalia; Rodentia; Sciuridae.